AGCCAUUAGCCAACCUAGUAUUAAAGGUAAUGCCUGCCCAGUGAGGUACAAACCUUAAACGGCCGCGGUAACACGUGCAAAGGUAGCGCAAUCACUUGUCUUCUAAAUAAAGACCCGUAUGAAUGGCCACAUGAGAAAGAAACUGUCUCUUGAAGACAACCAAUGAAACUGAUCUACCUGUACAAAAGCAGGCAUAUUAAAACAAGACAAAAAGACCCUGUGAAACUUUAAAUUCUAUAUCAAACAUAUGAUACUACUUUUUAGUUGGGGCAACUAUAGAGAAACAAAACCUCUACAAAGACACUGGACCAACUAGUCUAGUGAAACCUCUACCAGACCCAGUACAACUGACCAAUGAACCAAGCUACUCCAGGGAUAACAGCGCCACAUUCUUGAAGAGUUCUUAUCGACAAGAAUACCUACGACCUCGAUGUUGGAUCAGGGUACCCAAACGGCGAAGAAGCUGUUAAAGGUUCGUUUGUUCAACGACUAACACCCU
RNAcentral lists this ribosomal RNA (499 nucleotides) under Paralaudakia caucasia (Caucasian Agama). RNAcentral describes it as "partial 16S ribosomal RNA". It matches the Rfam family "Bacterial large subunit ribosomal RNA", at positions 1817 to 2597 of the family's 2925-position model. The record is from RNAcentral. Lineage: Eukaryota; Metazoa; Chordata; Lepidosauria; Squamata; Agamidae.